This 23-nucleotide non-coding RNA is filed under the name Arabidopsis thaliana (thale cress). Lineage: Eukaryota; Viridiplantae; Streptophyta; Magnoliopsida; Brassicales; Brassicaceae. The record is from RNAcentral.
AUAGCACAGAUCACGGAAAGGCC